Alligator sinensis (Chinese alligator) is the source of this 168-nucleotide small nuclear RNA. RefSeq annotates it as U1 spliceosomal RNA. The record is from RefSeq and is a predicted model, not a curated record. NCBI's taxonomy places the organism in Eukaryota, Metazoa, Chordata, Crocodylia, Alligatoridae. The transcript has a single exon.
UUGCACUCUGGGCAGGCUAACCCUUGUGAUUCACCCUGGGAGAACUGUCCAGGGGAAGACCUGUUCAUUGCACUCUGGGCAGGCUGACUCCUAAGAGUUUCCCUCAGUGUGGGAAACUCGACUGCAUAAUUAUGUGGCAAUGGUAGACUGCAUUCACGCUUCUCCCAU